Molecule: long non-coding RNA, 1520 nt
Organism: Daphnia carinata
Lineage: Eukaryota; Metazoa; Arthropoda; Branchiopoda; Diplostraca; Daphniidae
Exons: 4
Source: RefSeq, a predicted model, not a curated record
GGGGAGUUCAGGGAGGUUCGGGAGCUCAGCAACAACUUACCAAGGAAUUUUCAGAAUAAUCAACGCUCUAUGAUGUCGUAGUACAAGUAUCGUACUACUGGUCAGCAGAAGCGGAUGGCGCACAGAAGCGUUAGAAUCGUCAGCAGCGAUAAUUCCAGGAAAGACAUACUUUAUAUAUUCUAUUUUUUCUUAGAACUUAGAACGUUAACUUUAGAAACGAUAAACCUUUAAAUAAAAUUAAGAAGUUAGUUGAACUAUGAUGGCACUUCGACGUGAAAAUAUAAGGUAGGGAUCAGACGGACAUCAGUAUAAUGCUUAAAUCUUUCCAGGCGUCCAUUAGAUCGUGGAAAUCGUCGAUUGUGUCGAUAUUAUUUCCCCCGUGAACUUCAUCUGUGUUUCAAAAUGAAUCGCCCAUUUCACAUAGUUGUUUUUAGCUACUAUUUUCAAUAGAUGGCAUGACUAGAAGAAAGGUUGCAAAGUAAUACCUUGAACGGCAGUCUCGGCGAAAUCAUCAGCUAGAGUGAGCACCGCGCCCCAGAGUUUCUUGACGACGACGUAACGUUCGGGCGUCAAUCGUGGAGCGUUGAUGAUGUUGGAGAUAAGCUGGUGGACGCAGGACCGAUCAACGACGAUCUCGUUCUGCAGAAUCAUGUGAUAUUGUGCAUACCCUAAAGUUGUGGCCAAUGAACUGGGGAGAUAUCAUGAGAGCCAAUGCCAUCAGAAGUGACGCUGUUGAGGCCCGACCACUUUUGUAAAGAAUGUCAAAAUAUUUGACGACCAAAUUCAUGUCGAUGGAACUAAGAGGUAGCAGCACGGAUGAGAAAGACCGCAGUAACCAACAGUUGGGCACAUCUAAGAAGAAAGAAGCACAAAACAAAGGACAGUGAUGAUGGAACCUCCGGAGAAGAAAGCUGACACGUUUUGCACUGAGCGCCAAGACCUUGGAGAAUUGCACAUCAUUUCCCUUCCCUUCACCCUCGCGCCAGAACUCUGCACGUGACUAAGCCCCUGUUGCCGAAUGUUUUUACUUAGGUAAUCGUGAUUCUCCUCUUGAUGAGAUGGGAUCAUCCAUCAACGUCCGCCGGUCUACCAUCAUGUUACGAAAAGUUUUUUUUUUAAUUUUAAUUAAUAUUCGAAAUAUCAUUUGUUUUGGGAAAAAAAGUCAGCUGAUAUUUUCUACGAAACAGAGAUGGCGUUGAAUAAAGCAUGGGUUUUUCCCAACCUCUAGAAACGAAAAAGUGUUUUCCAUUUUACCCUGUCAUUUAGCCAAAGUAUUUUUCCUAUUUGUGUCUCCCGUAAUCAACCGUUAAAUUAUUUUUCUAAUCCAGUUGAAAGCUUCCCUGUUAUUGUAGAACAGAUUCAUGGGAUACCAGUUACCAAGCCAAUAUAAGCAAAUCCGUAAUCUUCUGUCAUAUCAGCACGAACUUUGUUCACCAUACACCGAGCACGAUUAGGUCUUGACUAACCUAGUUCGUGUGCGAAACAGCUAUAAACCUGAUGCUCUACUGAUUAACUAUUUC